CAGCCAGACUCCUACGGGAGGCAGCAGUGGGGAAUAUUGCACAAUGGGGGGAACCCUGAUGCAGCGACGCCUCGUGAGUGAAGAAGUAUUUCGGUAUUUAAAGCUCUUUCAUCAGGGAAGAAGAAAGACGGUACCUUACCAAGAAGCCCCUUCUAACUACGUGCCAUCAUCCGCGGUAAUACUUAGGGGGCAAUCGUUAUCCGGAUUUACUGGGUGUAAAGGGAGCGUAGACGGCAGUGCAAGUCUGGAGUGAAAGGCGGGGGAUCAACCGCCGGACUGCUCUGGAAACUGUACGGCUGGAGUGCAGGAGAGGUAAGUGGAAUUCCUAGUGUAGCGGUGAAAUGCGUAGAGAUUAGGAGGAACACCAGUGGCGAAGGCGGCUUACUGGACUGUAACUGACGUUGAGGCUCGAAAGCGUGGGGAGCAAACAGGAUUAGAUACCCUCGUA
RNAcentral lists this ribosomal RNA (448 nucleotides) under uncultured bacterium. Its description in RNAcentral is "bacterial SSU rRNA". It matches the Rfam family "Bacterial small subunit ribosomal RNA", at positions 328 to 792 of the family's 1533-position model. The record is from RNAcentral.